Molecule: ribosomal RNA, 1109 nt
Filed under: uncultured bacterium
Lineage: Bacteria
Description: bacterial SSU rRNA
Rfam family: Bacterial small subunit ribosomal RNA
Source: RNAcentral
AGUGAGGAAUAUUGCACAAUGGAGGAAACUCUGAUGCAGCAACGCCGCGUGGAGGAUGACGCAUUUCGGUGUGUAAACUCCUUUUAAGAGGGAAGAUAAUGACGGUACCUCUUGAAUAAGCACCGGCUAACUCCGUGCCAGCAGCCGCGGUAAUACGGAGGGUGCAAGCGUUACUCGGAAUCACUGGGCGUAAAGGGUGCGUAGGCUGGCUUCUAAGUCAGAUGUGAAAUCCAAUGGCUUAACCAUUGAACUGCAUUUGAAACUGGGAGCCUAGAGUUCAGAAGGGGCAGAUGGAAUUAGUGGUGUAGGGGUAAAAUCCGUAGAUAUCACUAGGAAUAUCAAAAGCGAAGGCGAUCUGCUGGGAUGAUACUGACGCUGAGGCACGAAAGCGUGGGGAGCAAACAGGAUUAGAUACCCUGGUAGUCCACGCCCUAAACGAUGAAUGCUAGUCGUCGGGGAGCUCGUCUCUUCGGUGAUGCACUUAACAGAUUAAGCAUUCCGCCUGGGGAGUACGGUCGCAAGAUUAAAACUCAAAGGAAUAGACGGGGACCCGCACAAGUGGUGGAGCAUGUGGUUUAAUUCGAAGAUACACGAAGAACCUUACCUGGCCUUGACAUCCCGAGAACCCUUAAGAGAUUAGGGGGUGCUAGCUUGCUAGAACUUGGUGACAGGUGCUGCACGGCUGUCGUCAGCUCGUGUCGUGAGAUGUUGGGUUAAGUCCCGCAACGAGCGCAACCCUCGUCGUUAGUUGCUAACAGUUCGGCUGAGCACUCUAACGAGACUGCCUUCGCAAGGAGGAGGAAGGUGAGGACGACGUCAAGUCAUCAUGGCCCUUACGGCCAGGGCUACACACGUGCUACAAUGGGGCGUACAAAGAGCUGCAAUACCGCGAGGUGGAGCCAAUCUCUUAAAGCGUCUCUCAGUUCGGAUUGUUCUCUGCAACUCGAGAACAUGAAGCUGGAAUCACUAGUAAUCGUAGAUCAGCUAUGCUACGGUGAAUACGUUCCCGGGUCUUGUACUCACCGCCCGUCACACCAUGGGAGUUGAUUUCACCCGAAAUCGGGAUGCCAAACUGGCUACCGCUUACGGUGGAAUUAGCGACUGGGGUG